This 75-nucleotide transfer RNA is filed under the name Planctomycetota bacterium. RNAcentral's name for it is "tRNA-Thr". It matches the Rfam family "tRNA". Rfam says of the family: Transfer RNA (tRNA) molecules are approximately 80 nucleotides in length. Their secondary structure includes four short double-helical elements and three loops (D, anti-codon, and T loops). The record is from RNAcentral. Lineage: Bacteria; Pseudomonadati; Planctomycetota.
GCCGCCUUGGCUCAGCGGUAGAGCGGUGGUUUUGUAAAUCACAGAUCCCGGGUUCGAAUCCCGGAGGCGGCUCCA